UACGGAGGAUGCAAGCGUUAUCCGGAUUUAUUGGGUUUAAAGGGUGCGCAGGUUGUUGAAUAAGUCAGUGGUGAAAGUCUGUCGCUUAACGGUAGGAUUGCCAUUGAUACUGUUUAACUUGAAUAUGGAUGAGGUAGGCGGAAUGUGUAGUGUAGCGGUGAAAUGCAUAGAUAUUACACAGAACACCGAUUGCGAAGGCAGCUUACUAAUCCAUUAUUGACGCUGAGGCACGAAAGCGUGGGGAUCAAACAGGAUUAGAUACCCUGGUAGUCCACGCCGUAAACGAUGAUCACUCGCUGUUUGCGAUAUACAGUAAGCGGCUAAGCGAAAGCGUUAAGUGAUCCACCUGGGGAGUACGAUCGCAAGGUUGAA
This 372-nucleotide ribosomal RNA is filed under the name uncultured bacterium. Its description in RNAcentral is "bacterial SSU rRNA". It matches the Rfam family "Bacterial small subunit ribosomal RNA", at positions 524 to 898 of the family's 1533-position model. The record is from RNAcentral.